This 921-nucleotide ribosomal RNA is filed under the name uncultured Bacteroidota bacterium. Its description in RNAcentral is "bacterial SSU rRNA". It matches the Rfam family "Bacterial small subunit ribosomal RNA", at positions 43 to 979 of the family's 1533-position model. Lineage: Bacteria; Pseudomonadati; Bacteroidota. The record is from RNAcentral.
CAGGCCUAACACAUGCAAGUCNNGGGGUAUAUGUCUUCNVAUAUAGAGACCGGCGNACGGGUGCGUAAACGCGNAUGCAAUCUACCUUUNCAGGGGAAUAGCCCAGAGAAAUUUGGAUUAAUGCCCCAUAGUAUAUUUGAACCGCAUGGUUUGAUURUUAAAGUUCCAACGGUAAAAGAUGAGCAUGCGUUCCGAUUAGUUAGUUGGUAAGGUAACGGCUUACCAAGACGAUGAUGGGUAGGGGUCCUGAGAGGGAGAUCCCCCACACUGGUACUGAGACACGGACCAGACUCCUACGGGAGGCAGCAGUGAGGAAUAUUGGACAAUGGGCGCAAGCUGAUCCAGCCAUGCCGCGUGCAGGAAGACGCAUCUAUGGUGUGUAAACUGCUUUUGUACAGGAAGAAACACUCCCUCGUGAGGGAGCUUGACGGUACUGUAAGAAUAAGGAUCGGCUAACUCCGUGCCAGCAGCCGCGGUAAUACGGAGGAUCCAAGCGUUAUCCGGAAUCAUUGGGUUUAAAGGGUCCGUAGCGGUUUUUGUAAGUCAGUGGUGAAAUCUGGUCGCUCAACGAUCAAACGGCCAUUGAUACUGCAAGACUUGAAUUAUUGUGAAGUAACUAGAAUAUGUAGUGUAGCGGUGAAAUGCUUAGAUAUUACAUGGAAUACCAAUUGCGAAGGCAGGUUACUAACAAUAUAUUGACGCUGAUGGACGAAAGCGUCGGGAGCGAACAGGAUUAGAUACCCUGGUAGUCCACGCCGUAAACGAUGGAUACUAGCUGUUCGGGGCAACCUGAGUGGCUAGCGAAAGUGAUAAGUAUCCACCUGGGGAGUACGUUCGCAGGAUGAAACUCAAAGGAUUGACGGGGGCCGCACAGCGUGGAGCAUGUGGUUUAUCCGAUGAUACGCGAGGACCUUACAAGGC